This 219-nucleotide ribosomal RNA is filed under the name uncultured bacterium. RNAcentral describes it as "partial 16S ribosomal RNA". It matches the Rfam family "Bacterial small subunit ribosomal RNA", at positions 112 to 334 of the family's 1533-position model. The record is from RNAcentral.
UUAGCUUGGGAAUCUGGCUUAUGGAGGGGGAUAACUACGGGAAACUGUAGCUAAUACCGCGUAGUAUCGAGAGAUGAAAGUGCGGGACCGCAAGGCCGCAUGCCAUGAGAUGAGCCCAAGUGGGAUUAGGUAGUUGGUGGGGUAAAGGCCUACCAAGCCUGCGAUCUCUAGCUGGUCUGAGAGGAUGGCCAGCCACACUGGAACUGAGACACGGUCCAG